UAGUCCACGCCGUAAACGAUGUCGACUUGGAGGUUGUGCCCUUGAGGCGUGGCUUCCGGAGCUAACGCGUUAAGUCGACCGCCUGGGGAGUACGGCCGCAAGGUUAAAACUCAAAUGAAUUGACGGGGGCCCGCACAAGCGGUGGAGCAUGUGGUUUAAUUCGAUGCAACGCGAAGAACCUUACCUGGCCUUGACAUCCAGAGAACUUAGCAGAGAUGCUUUGGUGCCUUCGGGAACUCUGAGACAGGUGCUGCAUGGCUGUCGUCAGCUCGUGUUGUGAAAUGUUGGGUUAAGUCCCGCAACGAGCGCAACCCUUAUCCUUUGUUGCCAGCGAUUCGGUCGGGAACUCAAAGGAGACUGCCGGUGAUAAACCGGAGGAAGGUGGGGAUGACGUCAAGUCAUCAUGGCCCUUACGGCCAGGGCUACACACGUGCUACAAUGGCGCAUACAAAGAGAAGCGACCUCGCGAGAGCAAGCGGACCUCAUAAAGUGCGUCGUAGUCCGGAUUGGAGUCUGCAACUCGACUCCAUGAAGUCGGAAUCGCUAGUAAUCGUAGAUCAGAAUGCUACGGUGAAUACGUUCCCGGGCCUUGUACACACCGCCCGUCACACCAUGGGAGUGGGUUGCAAAAGAAGUAGGUAGCUUAACCUUCGGGAGGGCG
This 661-nucleotide ribosomal RNA is filed under the name Pantoea sp. Its description in RNAcentral is "bacterial SSU rRNA". It matches the Rfam family "Bacterial small subunit ribosomal RNA", at positions 791 to 1452 of the family's 1533-position model. Lineage: Bacteria; Pseudomonadati; Pseudomonadota; Gammaproteobacteria; Enterobacterales; Erwiniaceae. The record is from RNAcentral.